UGGGGAAUAUUGCACAAUGGGCGCAAGCCUGAUGCAGCCAUGCCGCGUGUGUGAAGAAGGCCUUCGGGUUGUAAAGCACUUUCAGCGGGGAGGAAGGCGGUGAGGUUAAUAACCUCAUCGAUUGACGUUACCCGCAGAAGAAGCACCGGCUAACUCCGUGCCAGCAGCCGCGGUAAUACGGAGGGUGCAAGCGUUAAUCGGAAUUACUGGGCAUAAAGCGCACGCAGGCGGUCUGUCAAGUCGGAUGUGAAAUCCCCGGGCUCAACCUGGGAACUGCAUUCGAAACUGGCAGGCUAGAGUCUUGUAGAGGGGGGUAGAAUUCCAGGUGUAGCGGUGAAAUGCGUAGAGAUCUGGAGGAAUACCGGUGGCGAAGGCGGCCCCCUGGACAAAGACUGACGCUCAGGUGCGAAAGCGUGGGGAGCAAACAGG
RNAcentral lists this ribosomal RNA (429 nucleotides) under Chloroflexota bacterium. RNAcentral's name for it is "Chloroflexi bacterium partial 16S ribosomal RNA". It matches the Rfam family "Bacterial small subunit ribosomal RNA", at positions 355 to 776 of the family's 1533-position model. The record is from RNAcentral. Lineage: Bacteria; Bacillati; Chloroflexota.